RNAcentral lists this ribosomal RNA (649 nucleotides) under uncultured bacterium. RNAcentral describes it as "bacterial SSU rRNA". It matches the Rfam family "Bacterial small subunit ribosomal RNA", at positions 43 to 688 of the family's 1533-position model. The record is from RNAcentral.
CAGGCCUAACACAUGCAAGUCGAGGGGUAACAGAGAAGCUUGCUUCUGCUGACGACCGGCGCACGGGUGCGUAACGCGUAUGCAACCUACCUCAUACUGGAGCAUAGCCCUUGGAAACGAGGAUUAAUACUCCAUGGUAUCAUUCUUUCGCAUGUUAGAAUGAUUAAAGAAUUUCGGUAUGAGAUGGGCAUGCGUCCCAUUAGCUAGUUGGUGAGGUAACGGCUCACCAAGGCAACGAUGGGUAGGGGGCCUGAGAGGGUGGUCCCCCACACUGGUACUGAGACACGGACCAGACUCCUACGGGAGGCAGCAGUGAGGAAUAUUGGUCAAUGGAGGCAACUCUGAACCAGCCAUGCCGCGUGAAGGAUGACGGCCCUAUGGGUUGUAAACUUCUUUUAUAUGGGAAGAAACUUAUCUACGUGUAGAUAACUGACGGUACCAUACGAAUAAGGAUCGGCUAACUCCGUGCCAGCAGCCGCGGUAAUACGGAGGAUCCAAGCGUUAUCCGGAUUCAUUGGGUUUAAAGGGUCCGUAGGCGGAUUUUUAAGUCAGUGGUGAAAGCCGACAGCUCAACUGUCGAACUGCCAUUGAUACUGGAAAUCUUGAGUACAAAUGAAGUAGGCGGAAUGAGUCAUGUAGCGGUGAAAUG